RNAcentral lists this non-coding RNA (28 nucleotides) under Mus musculus (house mouse). Lineage: Eukaryota; Metazoa; Chordata; Mammalia; Rodentia; Muridae. The record is from RNAcentral.
UAGUCUGUCCUCUGUUGGCCCCACGCGU